Molecule: ribosomal RNA, 352 nt
Filed under: uncultured bacterium
Lineage: Bacteria
Description: bacterial SSU rRNA
Rfam family: Bacterial small subunit ribosomal RNA
Source: RNAcentral
AAUCUAUCCUUGAAUGGGGGACAACCGUGGGAAACUACGGCUAAUACCGCAUGAUGCCUGAGGGCCAAAGACGAAAGUCGUUUGAGGAGGAGCCUGCGUCUGAUUAGGUAGUUGGUGGGGUAAAGGCCUACCAAGCCUGCGAUCAGUAGCUGGUCUGAGAGGAUGAUCAGCCACAUUGGGACUGAGACACGGCCCAAACUCCUACGGGAGGCAGCAGUGGGGAAUAUUGGACAAUGGGCGAAAGCCUGAUCCAGCAAUGCCGCGUGUGUGAAGAAGGUCUUCGGAUUGUAAAGCACUUUUGGCAGGGACGAUGAUGACGGUACCUGCAGAAUAAGCCCCGGCUAACUUCGUG